Molecule: ribosomal RNA, 814 nt
Filed under: uncultured organism
Description: bacterial SSU rRNA
Rfam family: Bacterial small subunit ribosomal RNA
Source: RNAcentral
CGUGCCAGCAGCCGCGGUAAUACGUAGGAGGCGAGCGUUAUCCGGAUUUAUUGGGCGUAAAGGGCGUGCAGGUGGUUUGGAAAGUUGGGUAUGAAAUCUCCUGGCUUAACUAGGAGAGGCUGCUCAAAACUUCCAGGCUAGAGGACGGUAGAGGGAGGUGGAAUUCCCGGUGUAGUAGUGAAAUGCGUAGAUAUCGGGAGGAACACCAGUGGCGAAGGCGGCCUCCUGGGCCGUUCCUGACACUGAGACGCGAAAGCAUGGGUAGCAAACGGGAUUAGAAACCCCGGUAGUCCAUGCUGUAAACGAUGUGAACUUGAUGUUGGCAGCGUAAUAGCUGUCAGUGUCGUAGUUAACGCGAUAAGUUCACCGCCUGGGGACUACGACCGCAAGGUUAAAACUCAAAGGAAUUGACGGGAGCCCGCACAAGCAGCGGAGCGUGUGGUUUAAUUCGAUGAUACGCGAAGAACCUUACCUGGGCUUGACAUAUAGGUGGUAGGGAUCCGAAAGGUGACCGACUCUUCGGAGAGCCUAUACAGGUGCUGCAUGGCUGUCGUCAGCUCGUGCCGUGAGGUGUCCGGUUAAGUCCGGUAACGAGCGCAACCCUUGCCGUAUGUUACAUGUGUCAUGCGGGACUGCCGGUAUAAAACCGGGGGAAGGUGGGGAUGACGUCAAGUCAGCAUGGCCUUUAUGUCCAGGGCUACACACACGCUACAAUGGUCGGUACAAUGGGUAGCAAAGUCGCGAGGCGGAGCCAAUCCUCAAAGCCGAUCUCAGUUCGGAUUGCAGUCUGCAACUCGACUGCAGAAGCCGGAGU